Molecule: long non-coding RNA, 401 nt
Filed under: Anser brachyrhynchus (Pink-footed goose)
Lineage: Eukaryota; Metazoa; Chordata; Aves; Anseriformes; Anatidae
Description: lncRNA (ENSABRG00000014494.1)
Source: RNAcentral
UGGGAUUCUUCUAAAUCAUCAAAGGAGACACCGCCGGUGUCUGACAGUUGAGCCACCUACUGCUCUGCUGAUAAUUGGCUAGAAGGCUUUCCUACCAACAGUGCUGAUCAUUGGCAACUUUCCAAGUUUCUUAGCAGAACCUCAAAAGAACUGAUUGUGAAGAUUUUUGGAAAUUAACGUGUGCUGGAAGAGACGGGGGAGAGCUGGAUGAAGGGGAGGCAAUAUUUUUGCUCGUGGCCAGAACAACCUACGCCAGCUUCCCACAUGAGAAAGGGCAGUUCAAUACAAUAUUACCAGAACAAAAGGAGCGAGUUUUGAUGAAAGCCUUGACAGUUUAUUAUUGCUCUGCUUCUGAAAAGCAAAGUAUAUAGCUUGGAGCAAUAUAAUUUUUAUCACGACCU